RNAcentral lists this ribosomal RNA (528 nucleotides) under uncultured bacterium. Its description in RNAcentral is "bacterial SSU rRNA". It matches the Rfam family "Bacterial small subunit ribosomal RNA", at positions 61 to 577 of the family's 1533-position model. The record is from RNAcentral.
GUCGAACGGCAGCACGGGGGAGCUUGCUCCCUGGGUGGCGAGUGGCGGACGGGUGAGGAAUACGUGGGAAUCUGCCCAGGUCGUGGGGGAUAACGUAGGGAAACUUACGCUAAUACCGCAUGCGCCCUUCGGGGGAAAGCCGGGGACCUUCGGGCCUGGCGCGAUUGGAUGAGCCCACGUCGGAUUAGCUUGUUGGCGGGGUAACGGCCCACCAAGGCGACGAUCCGUAGCUGGUCUGAGAGGAUGAUCAGCCACACUGGAACUGAGACACGGUCCAGACUCCUACGGGAGGCAGCAGUAGGGAAUAUUGGACAAUGGGCGCAAGCCUGAUCCAGCCAUGCCGCGUGAGUGAAGAAGGCCCUCGGGUUGUAAAGCUCUUUUGUCCGGAAAGAAAAGCACCCGGUUAAUACCUGGGUGUCCUGACGGUACCGGAAGAAUAAGCACCGGCUAACUUCGUGCCAGCAGCCGCGGUAAUACGAAGGGUGCAAGCGUUACUCGGAAUUACUGGGCGUAAAGCGUGCGUAGGUG